UCUCCUGGAAAAGGGUGGUAAUGCCGGAUGCUCCAGUUGAUCGCAUGGUCUUCUGGGAAAGCUUUCGCGGUAUGGGAUGGGGUCGCGUCCUAUCAGCUUGACGGCGGGGUAACGGCCCACCGUGGCUUCGACGGGUAGCCGGCCUGAGAGGGCGACCGGCCACAUUGGGACUGAGAUACGGCCCAGACUCCUACGGGAGGCAGCAGUGGGGAAUAUUGCACAAUGGGCGCAAGCCUGAUGCAGCGACGCCGCGUGAGGGAUGGAGGCCUUCGGGUUGUAAACCUCUUUUAUCGGGGAGCAAGCGAGAGUGAGUUUACCCGUUGAAUAAGCACCGGCUAACUACGUGCCAGCAGCCGCGGUAAUACGUAGGGUGCAAGCGUUAUCCGGAAUUAUUGGGCGUAAAGGGCUCGUAGGCGGUUCGUCGCGUCCGGUGUGAAAGUCCAUCGCUUAACGGUGGAUCCGCGCCGGGUACGGGCGGGCUUGAGUGCGGUAGGGGAGACUGGAAUUCCCGGUGUAACGGUGGAAUGUGUAGAUAUCGGAAAGAACACC
RNAcentral lists this ribosomal RNA (549 nucleotides) under Bifidobacterium longum subsp. suillum. RNAcentral's name for it is "bacterial SSU rRNA". It matches the Rfam family "Bacterial small subunit ribosomal RNA", at positions 146 to 710 of the family's 1533-position model. The record is from RNAcentral. Lineage: Bacteria; Bacillati; Actinomycetota; Actinomycetes; Bifidobacteriales; Bifidobacteriaceae.